GGACGCCUACGGGGGGCAGCAGUGGGGAAUAUUGGGCAAUGGGCGCAAGCCUGACCCAGCGACGCCGCGUGAAGGAAGAAGGCUUUCGGGUUGUAAACUUCUUUUCUCAGGGACGAAGCAAGUGACGGUACCUGAGGAAUAAGCCACGGCUAACUACGUGCCAGCAGCCGCGGUAAUACGUAGGUGGCAAGCGUUAUCCGGAUUUACUGGGUGUAAAGGGCGUGUAGGCGGGACUGCAAGUCAGAUGUGAAAACCACGGGCUCAACCUGUGGCCUGCAUUUGAAACUGUAGUUCUUGAGGACUGG
This 305-nucleotide ribosomal RNA is filed under the name uncultured bacterium. RNAcentral's name for it is "bacterial SSU rRNA". It matches the Rfam family "Bacterial small subunit ribosomal RNA", at positions 333 to 652 of the family's 1533-position model. The record is from RNAcentral.